Molecule: ribosomal RNA, 496 nt
Filed under: uncultured bacterium
Lineage: Bacteria
Description: partial 16S ribosomal RNA
Rfam family: Bacterial small subunit ribosomal RNA
Source: RNAcentral
GAUGAACGCUGGCGGCGUGCCUAAUACAUGCAAGUCGAGCGAACAGAUGAGGAGCUUGCUCCUCUGACGUUAGCGGCGGACGGGUGAGUAACACGUGGAUGACCUACCUAUAAGACUGGGAUAACUUCGGGAAACCGGAGCUAAUACCGGAUAAUAUAUUGAACCGCAUGGUUCAAUAGUGAAAGACGGUUUUGCUGUCACUUAUAGAUGGAUCCGCGCCGCAUUAGCUAGUUGGUAAGGUAACGGCUUACCAAGGCAACGAUGCGUAGCCGACCUGAGAGGGUGAUCGGCCACACUGGAACUGAGACACGGUCCAGACUCCUACGGGAGGCAGCAGUAGGGAAUCUUCCGCAAUGGGCGAAAGCCUGACGGAGCAACGCCGCGUGAGUGAUGAAGGUCUUCGGAUCGUAAAACUCUGUUAUUAGGGAAGAACAAAUGUGUAAGUAACUAUGCACGUCUUGACGGUACCUAAUCAGAAAGCCACGGCUACUACGUG